UGGGGAAUUUUGGACAAUGGGGGCAACCCUGAUCCAGCCAUCCCGCGUGUGCGAUGAAGGCCUUCGGGUUGUAAAGCACUUUUGGCAGGGAAGAAACAGCCUGGGCUAAUAUCCCGGGCGACUGACGGUACCUGCAGAAUAAGCACCGGCUAACUACGUGCCAGCAGCCGCGGUAAUACGUAGGGUGCAAGCGUUAAUCGGAAUUACUGGGCGUAAAGCGUGCGCAGGCGGUUCGGAAAGAAAGGUGUGAAAUCCCAGGGCUUAACCUUGGAACUGCACUUUUAACUACCGGGCUAGAGUACGUCAGAGGGGGGUAGAAUGCCACGUGUAGCAGUGAAAUGCGUAGAGAUGUGGAGGAAUACCGAUGGCGAAGGCAGCCCCCUGGGAUGAUACUGACGCUCAUGCACGAAAGCGUGGGGAGCAAACA
This 427-nucleotide ribosomal RNA is filed under the name uncultured bacterium. RNAcentral's name for it is "bacterial SSU rRNA". It matches the Rfam family "Bacterial small subunit ribosomal RNA", at positions 355 to 774 of the family's 1533-position model. The record is from RNAcentral.